Long non-coding RNA from Grammomys surdaster, 1616 nucleotides. RefSeq lists it as uncharacterized. NCBI's taxonomy places the organism in Eukaryota, Metazoa, Chordata, Mammalia, Rodentia, Muridae. The transcript is spliced from 9 exons. The record is from RefSeq and is a predicted model, not a curated record.
GGGACACACACAUGGGCUAACAGCGCGCACACGCUUCUGCGCUCGCACACCCUGGGAGAGCACUUAUAUAGCCUCCAUAAGGCUAAGCAUCUCCUUUUCGGAGGCAGCGAUGAAACAAACAACUCUGCCGGCAACAAGACCAGCUCAGAGAGCUCCCAGCUGGCGGCUCUCACCCCAAAGGCUCUUGGGAAAUGGCAUGCAGGCGCACACACAAAAUCAAGGAGAUGAUCCGGCCUACCUGGCACUCACUUUCAAGUUCACUCAAAGGCCUUGUGCUUCCCUUUGCCCACAGUGACUGAGUUACCAGGAGGGACAGAUGUUCGUUUGGAAGCCAGAUGUGUCCCCCAGACAACGGAUGUCAGACAGUUGGAGAAGAAGAUGCUCAAUGGAUGCGGAACCACAGCUGAUCGAUCACCUUGGCCAGUUUGGGGAGGUGGGAGCUUUGCGCUCAGCUUCCUCUGGGGAUUCUCAGGGCUUUCCAGGUUGACAGGUCCCCUGAGGAGAUGGAGUCACAGUCGCACCCUGACACCCCGCAGGCCAUCGCACCAGCAUGGAGCCCCGACAUCUCUCAGCCGCACCGUCAUCUUGGGACAAGUGGUUGGCUGUCUCUUGAAAACAGACCAGACAGAAAAGGGUAGCCGAAGGAACCUACUACACAAAGGCCUAGCUUGAGCUCAAAGGCUUCAGAAAUCUCAAAGCCACCUCCACAGCAACAUACCUCCUCCAACAAGGCCACAUCUCCUCCAACAAGGCCACACCUCUUCCUAAUAAUGCUACUCCCUGUGGACCAGACAUUUAAACACGAUGAAGAUGGCUUACAGAAAUGAGGCUAAUCCUCAGAGUGAGAAAGGAAUGACGACUGGGUGCCUAUCACAGCUUAAUUCGGAGGGAAGUAUUCAGGAUGUUGGCGUGAGAUGGCCACUGCUCGUAGGUUGUAAUGAAGUUCUCUGACAGGCUGAAUGUAUCCUGCUUUUCCAGCAGAAAGGGAAGAAACCAGAGCUUUGCUAAGAGAGACUCUUGAGGCCUGCGUCUACCCUGCAGGAUGGUUGAAAUUCUGACCCAGGGGCAUACAGGGUUUGAAAGCUGCAUUUUCUAUCUUAAAUACAAGUUAAUAUCCAGAAAUUGCUAAUUGUGUGCUCUCUCUCCUCUCCUCCUUCCUCUCCUUUCCUCUUUUCUCUCUCUCUCUCAUCUCACUGUAUAUUUCAAGAUGGCCUUGAACAAACCACCCUCUAUGUCCGCUGUGAGAUCAGAAUACAGCAAAAGACUCAUCGACCUUCUCCUCAGUCUCCUGGGCUGCUAACUAUUCUCUGACACAGAAAGGGAAGAACUCUAUGUUUUGUGAUGUUCUAUCUGGGAGUGGUAUAAAGGUCUCCUCGAAUCCCCGAGAGACGGGGCAUCUCACCAUGAGUCGCAUACACUGCAGUUUGGUACCCAGCAGUCACACAUGGAUGCCGAGGUACUUGAUCAAUGAGUAAUGCCAGGACUACAUUUUACUUUAACUGUUGAAAACUUGGCAUUAAAAUGGAGACGGACUACAAGUGUAAAAUACAAGCUGGAUUUCAAAGAUGGUAUAAUAAAAAGGAUGACACAGGGAAUUUGGCAGAAGAGGAGGCAAA